UUCGGGCUUUGCCAAUAGUGGAGAUGAGCCGAGGUAGUUCUUCAGUUCUUCGAAUACUUGCUGACAUCCAGUGGUCCAACAGAAGUUCUUCGGCUGCUUGAGAGUCUGAAAGAAAGGUAGGCACCACUCGGUCGAUCUUGAGACGAAGCGAUUUAGAGCCGCUACUCCCCAGUAAGGCGCUGAACUUCCUUUAUUGACUUC
This 201-nucleotide long non-coding RNA is filed under the name Elaeis guineensis (African oil palm). RNAcentral's name for it is "long non-coding RNA (EGUI_LNC065274)". The record is from RNAcentral. Lineage: Eukaryota; Viridiplantae; Streptophyta; Magnoliopsida; Arecales; Arecaceae.